Molecule: ribosomal RNA, 383 nt
Filed under: uncultured eukaryote
Lineage: Eukaryota
Description: partial 18S ribosomal RNA
Rfam family: Eukaryotic small subunit ribosomal RNA
Source: RNAcentral
CAAUAGCGUAUAUUAAAGUUGUUGCAGUUAAAAAGCUCGUAGUUGGAUUUCUGGUGGGAGCGAUCGGUCUGGCGCUUAGCGCGAGUACUUGCAUCGUCUCCGGCCAUCCUUGGGGAGAGUCUGUCUGGCAUUAGGUUGUCGGGCAGAGGAUCCUCAUCGUUUACUGUGAAAAAAUUAGAGUGUUCAAAGCAGGCUUAUGCCGUUGAAUAUAUUAGCAGGGAAUAAUAAGAUAGGACUUUGGUACUAUUUUGUUGGUUUGCGCACCAAAGUAAUGAUUAAUAGGGACAGUUGGGGGUAUUCGUAUUCCGUUGUCAGAGGUGAAAUUCUUGGAUUUACGGAAGACGAACUACUGCGAAAGCAUUUACCAAGGAUGUUUUCAUUAA